UUCCAGCUCAUCUAGUCCAAUGAUAAUGACACAGAAGGACAUUACUUAUACUGUAGAUGUAACAGAUACAGCUAAAAGGCAUGGUACAACUAUAUUUUGUGCCUCAGUGCCUGUUGUCAAAUGGUCAAAUGACUUUGUAAGAACAAAAAAAGCCAAUCUUCUUGAAGUGUCUCUCUUUUUCUUCCUAUUCUAGCUGCCCUGUAUUAUUUUCAUCUAACAGUUUUUCCUGCCCCUUCUGCUCUGUAAGAUUACAUUGGCUUUGAGGAACAGUAGGCUUACUUUCAUUUGUGCUCUUUGGCAGCUGGUCUCAAAGAUGUCACAUCAGGCAAUACCAAAACACACUACUUCUGUCUACUCAGAACUCAAGUCCUGGGCAGCAUCUGAAAACUUUUCUCAGAAAUGAAAUUAUUUUACUAUUUUGACUUUCUUUAUAAUUUUUGUAUAAGCAUUCAUUUAUCCAAAAGCUAAAAAAUGUUGAAAUUUAUGGAAGGAAAGAACAUAUAUUACUUUUUGUGUGUUGUAAUUCCAUUUCAUUUUAAAAGGAUAUUUUUUUCUAAAGCAGGGAUCUCCCCUGCAUUCAUAUUUCUCUCAUAGAUUCACAUAGAAUUUGGGACCAAAUUUUAUACAGGCUUAUGUAUAAAAAAAGGAUUGCAUAAAAAAAAAGAAACCAUGUGCUGGUUUUGUAGGCAUUUUCUUUACAUUCAGGCAGGAUCAUCUAAUCUUUAUCUGAAACAUUAACCUGAGAAAUCCUAAAGCAGAGCUUUAUGGGAAAAUAUAACAUACUGAUGGAGAGAAAGUGGUCCCAGAAGAAGGAAUAUGCAAACAAAACUGUAGAGUUUUUGAGCUUGCAGAGAACAGAGGAGCAUUCAGAAUCAUGAUCUGUUUUCAGUCAUGAAUAUCUUGUAAAACUGGAGCGAGGCAUGUUAUCUUCAAGCACGUGAAGCUAACAAUUUUCUAGCGGUUCUUUCUUCUAAUCUAUGGAGACCACUCUUUAAAAAAAAAAAAAAAAAGAAAUAAUGAAACAAUUUGCAAAGAUAAAAGAAGAGUACUUGAAAUUUAGCCAUUCUAGCUGAUAUAUUUUCCCUAUGAUCAUGGUCAGGAAAAAAUGUCUUUCUUAGGACUUGUCCUGGAGUGCUACUGUAGGUAUCCUUUGAGCUAAAAUAGCCCAAACCCCAAAGGGUCAAUUAGAUUAUAAUUUGUACAGAGGACUUUGAAAUGUCACAGUCUAUUUAUCUAACUCUCUCUUAAUGUGAGCUUAUUGAAAAAAAAAGAUGCUUUAUUGUCACUUUCAAAUGGAAAAAAAAGAGGACCAAUUUUUCCUUAAUUUUUGGAGUAGUAUCAUGAAACUACACACAUAUCUUAAAGGUCACCUACUGAAUACUGAAAUGAGAAUUUUUCCAUUAUGAAUGACAGACAUUUGAUUUGAUGCCUCCUCCAUAUGCACAACACCAGGAAUAAGAGAAGCCCUCUAGAUUCUUUAAAAACUGGUGGAACACUCCUUUUCUAUGUUUUAUAGCUUGGAGAGAGAGCAUAUCCCAUAGAAACACCAUUCAUCAUUCCUAAGUUACAGGGGAUCUGCGCUACUCUACCAUCUACUGAGUUGUGGUUACAAGGAACAGUGGAGUCUAAGAAAUUUAAAACCUGACCUCCACCUGGUAUAAAUUGACAGAUUCUAUUGAAAUCAGUGCCAAUUUCUCGCCUGUGAUUUAUUUUUUGCCUCAGAAUGUUUAAGUUUAAACAGGGCAUUUGAAAUUCAAUGUUAAGUUUCAGGAGCACCUACCCAUAUGAAAAUGUUUGUGUAAAUUAGAAAUAAACAACUAUGCAAACUUGCAUAUGUUCUCAUCUGUUUGCUUUUCCAUCUGUACCUUUUCAAAUAAACUCUUUGGGAUUUGAGGAUUCAUUACCAGCUGAGAAAAACUGACACCCUGAAGACUGGUCUAUUUAAUCCAAAAUCUGUUAUCCCAGGGAAGAUUUUUCUUUGCUUGCAUCUCCACUAAAAAAUGAAGGCUACGUGUCAGAAUGGAUGCAAGGAUUUUGUUGGUGCUGGCUGGCUGGUUUCAGUUUACAGAGGGUGUUUCUAGGGAGAUAGUGCCCUGUGUGUCGCCAGCAGGCUCAUUUGGCUUGUCUAGCGGCAAUUCAUUUUGUUUACAAGUACAAGAUUACAGCAGGGGGUAGUAGCCGAAUUUAGAGACAUGCAGGAAAGGAAGAAGCUGCAGCUGAAAUGACUUGGUACCCUAAGCAACACAAACAACAACAACCAAAGAAGCAGAGCCAGGCAGGAGUUGGACUGUCCAGGAUACUCUCUUGAUGCAGUGCAUAGCAGUCAUGAGCAUGCAGGCAGCAGAACGGUCCUCGUGCAACCAGGGGAGAAAAAACAACAACCGCUGCUGGGAACUGCAGGGACACGGAGAGCUCUCUUUCCCAGGGUGAGGGCUUCUGCGUACCACACCCAGCAUCAAGUGUUUUGAAACCAACAGCAGAGCCCUGCACAACAAAAGAAGAAUAACUAUAACACUAAUAAUGCUGAAAUAAGAAGGGUUUGGCAGCUUCCUCCAAGAAUCUAUACAACAUGCAAUGAUGCUAAGUAACCGGUUAUCUUGGCCAAAACAACGGAUGGCAAGAGCUGAGUGAAUCAUUUCAUGGCAGAACACCUUCUGCUUAUAUUUGGUUCUGUUGUGUGUGUUCCAGUGGAUACCCAACAGCCCCAUAACAGAUUUUUCCAACACCCUUUCUGUCUAACUGUAUUUUUGUUAACUAUCUAUAUGAAUCAAUUUUACUUAUAAUUUGAAAUCUGUUGCUAUUCAGCUACCUGUACACAUUGCAUCUUUUAAUUCACACAGUAAGCUGCAUAAAAAUAUCCAGAUUUAUUUAUAUAUUAAAAAGCUACCUGAUGCCAAUUUCCACCUGUAUACCUUUGGAAGCCUUUUUCGGUCAGCUCAAAAGGUUAGACAUUCACUUAUGUGCAUGUGCAUUGCAAGUAAACAUAGAGAGAUGUGAUUGAGUCUGAAAUGGAUUAAUUAAAUACGUCCAGAACAGCAAAACAGGUACAUUCUCAGAUAAGUUUAACAAAGUGUUUAAAUUCUUUGUAAAACCGGUGUGGAAUUAGACUUAAAGCUAAGCUUAUGAUUAAGUAUUUUAUUGAAUCAUGGCCCAUUUGCAGGAGAAUUUGUGAGGAGACUUUUUUGCUUUUUAGCCAACUCUGCUUAUUAACUUACAGUUUCUGCAUAGCCAUAUUUUUAUUUUCUUUAUUUUGGGUUAAUUUUAAAAUGACAGGCCAUAAAACAUUUCAUUUGUCUUUAGAAAAGUCCAAACCCAGCAGCUCUCAGGAGCUGUUGAUUUAUGGUGUCUUGCCUUCACAAUCUUGCAAUGAGCAUUUGUUCUGAUGAUGUGAUGUUUGUGAUUUCAUAUCCUGCUGUGGAGCUUCAGUGUGAGAAGGCGUAUUCUGGAACUAAGAUGAACUGGAAUGUUGCCUCACCUACUCAUGCAGUUUCAGGUCCAGUAAAUUGAUUUAAUCUCUUGCUCUUAAUAAAAAACAGUUGUUAUUUUUCUUACUCUCCGCUGGAUUCAUAGACCGCAUCUACAGUGGUGUGAGGGAAAAAAAUAUGAAAAUAAGUGUGUAAGUGUAACACAAAAGUUCAUUGUGGCCAAACUGGCUUUCAACAAUGUUUAACUAUCAGAACAUUAAAUAAUUUUAAUGACUAGUCAUAUUUAUUUAUCCAUUAAUUACAGAGAGAAUCACUGUAAGUACCGAUGACAUUUACAGCUAUCUGGUCAGAAUUCCCCUUGUUGCAGCUUGUAACCAAGUUGUCAGUGUGUUUUUCUGAGUUCAUGUCUGCCUUGUCUGUACCCUUCCAUUGCUUAGCUAAAGAGAAAAAAAAAAAAGAUAUUCAAUCACACUUUUCCUGAUAAGACUGAAUGAAUCCUGUUCCCAGCCUCUUCUCAUAUAUCAUGUGUUCCAGACCUCUUGUCAUCUUGGUGACCUCCCCUUGUCUCACUACUGUACAUCCCUGUCUUUCUUGCAGGGAAAGUAACAGAGAACAUAUUUCACUGAAAAUGGAGACUAUGAAUGAAACAAAUUGGGCAAACAUUUGGUAGGACUUUGGUAGGAUUGAAGAGUACUAUCUCGGGAAGUCUCUUGCACCAAUUAUCCACCUUUAUUCCCAUACAAUUUUAUUUGCUUCAGAUAAAUUAGCCUCCUCUUUUUACCUCCACCACUAAAACAAACCAGGCAAGAAAAAAUAAAGCUAAUAGAUAGCAGCACCACAUGGAGACAUUUAUGAACGGGUGAUUCAAGAGCAGUCAGCCUCUAAUCUCUGAUGAACUCACAAAAGUGGGAAUUUACAUUUCUACUGUGCUUCUACUUGCCUUGUAGCAAUAUUGGCAGAUAUAUUUCUAUAACUCACCACUUGAUCCCUGACAUUUUCUGGUUUCAGAAUGUGUUUUCAAAGAAAUAAUGGUACCAGAGGUACAAGUCAGCAAACAAAGAGGGGUGAAUCCAGGGAUGAGGCAGACUGAAACACUUUCAUAGAAUAUGGCUGACUCUGACUGAGCAAAUAAGAGGAGAGAAAUGAGCAUCCUACUGCAGAAAAUGCCUCUGAGGAGCAGCAAAUGAUGGGAACAAAGCUUCUGGAGGCAUGUUUUUCCCUGAGUUGUGCCUCUUGCUGAGCUACCCAUGUGCUGCACUGCACUUAAGCUCACAGUGGAAUACAGUUCCCUUACUGCAGGUUCUCCUCCAUCAGAUAUUAUCUUUGCCUAGUCUGUCACGCCUUAUUUGGUGUUUUUAGAAGAGAAAUAGAAAUUCUACAGGUGCAGAAUCUGGCCCCAGCAAAGGAUGAAGGUGCUGUUCUGAACACCAUCACAUCUACAGACAUGCUGACGGAAACAGCAAUGAAAUGAGGUGCUCUGCAGGGUGAACAAGAAAAGUUUUCUGACAAAAGCCAUAUCUACACUUUGGCAUAGUUUGAGGUUAUUUAAGAUGAAACUGAAUUCAGAAUAAGGAAGUAUUGAUCACACAGUAAGGGCUACUUCCCCACUCUGGGAUCUACUUCUUCACCUCUCAUGCUGUUUCACAUACCAUGUGUUACACUUUGCCCUUCUCUUCAGUCACACUUUUUCCAAGAAUGCAUUUGACCACUAAAACUUUGGCAUUCUUGGUAUACUAAAAUGACAUUUAGAGUAGAGGAGAAAGUAACAAUUAAUCAAAAAUGGUGCAUGGUGGGAAAACAUCUCAUCAAAUCCAUGCAUUGCUUGCAGUGCAGCUCUUUUCCCUACAGGCAGGAGCAGGACCAGUGCUACACCACAGAUUGCAGAGGCUGCUGCCUGGAGCAGGGGCUGUCAAAGGAGGUACAUCCAUUAGUAAUGUGCUCCCACAGCACAGGCAUUUCCAAAAUCUUCUCUGCUUCUUCAGCUGUUUCAGCUCUGUUGCAUUGGCUGGAGGGACUCAGUUCAGCUGGCUUCACACACCCAUCUGUAAAAAUGCAUGAACUGUCCCUAAAGGCCUUAAACCACAUUUCAGGGAAGAAAACAGAAACACAAGAUCUGGCUCUUUCCCCCUUAAUGGUACUCAGAUUUUAAGUGAUUGCCUAAUUUAAGUCUUCAACACUAAGAUCAUCCUCUGAUACUCUGGCUUAAUAAAACCUUCCUCAGAGAACCAAAUUAGAAGUGCCACAAGGGACAGUUCAUGAAGCAGAAUGCUACUGACUAUGAGUAAGGGUAUUAGUAUCUGGCUCUGGGCUUUUUGGGUCAUUUCCUCAUCUGUGACUUGUGCUGCUCUCCUCCUGUACCUGCAGCGCCUCAUCUCAGUCGUGGCUCUUGCAUUGCUAUGGAAAGUGAGUUUCUCCACUGCCUCUGGAGCAUCCCUAAAGAUAGAAGCAUCACAGAGGCAGUUGUGGUCCACCUGCUGUUCUAGGAAAGAAGUUUGCUGAGCCAAGAAUACCUGCUUUUUCUUGCUCCAAUGACCACUGCUGCCGCAGCACAAUCUGUUGUUCCAUCUUCCCAGUCCCUUUCACUCAUCUGCCUCAUGGAGGAGGUGAUGCAGACCUGCAGGAGCUGUGUAAGCCCUGCACAGAAGAGAUGGCACCAGGAAAGGAAGGGCUAGAUGGUUCCCCUUGUAAGUCCACAACUUUGUGUGGUUUGGCUGCUUUGCCAUAUGUGCAUUAAUCAUUAAGAAUACACGCUGAUAUACUUAAAGCAUUCAGUCUCAAUAAAAAUGGGGUCCUCCAAAGUCUUCAUAGCUGCAUAGUCUCUUUAUAAAAUGUCAACAUGUUUUAAAAGUUUGUCAAAGAGGCAUGGAAAGAACAAAAAGGGUUUAUGCCUACAAAACAACUUCAACUUAGCUGUUAUCUAUACCACACUCAUGUACUAUCUUGAAAUAAUUUGUGCUAUUUCCUUUGUUCUGUAUUUCAAAACAAUGCUGUAUAUAUUGUCUUAAGGAAUAAAAUAAUUAAGUGUAUUUAUAUACUAAUAAAAGUCAUGAAAAGUA
Passer domesticus (house sparrow) is the source of this 6481-nucleotide long non-coding RNA. RefSeq lists it as uncharacterized. The transcript has 2 exons. The record is from RefSeq and is a predicted model, not a curated record. Lineage: Eukaryota; Metazoa; Chordata; Aves; Passeriformes; Passeridae.